AUGCCUAGUACGGCGAGUGAGCGGCAACAGCUCAAAUUUGAAAGCUGGCUUAGGCCCGCAUUGUAAUUUGCAGAGGAUGCUUCUGGCGAGGUGCCUUCCGAGUUCCCUGGAACGGGACGCCAUAGAGGGUGAGAGCCCCGUAUGGAUGGACACCAGACCUGUGUGAAGCUCCUUCAACGAGUCGAGUAGUUUGGGAAUGCUGCUCUAAAUGGGAGGUAAAUCUCUUCUAAAGCUAAAUACCGGCCAGAGACCGAUAGCGCACAAGUAGAGUGAUCGAAAGAUGAAAAGCACCUUGAAAAGGGGGUUAAACAGUACGUGAAAUUGUUGAAAGGGAAGCGCUUGUGACCAGACUUGCGCCGGGCAGCUCAUCAGGGGUUCUCCCCUGUGCACUCUGCCCGGCUCAGGCCAGCAUCGGUUCUCGUGGGAGGAUAAGAACGGUAGGAACGUGGCCCCCCUCCGGGGGGGUGUUAUAGCCUGCCGUACGAUACUCCCGUGGGGACCGAGGUUCGCGCUCCGCAAGGAUGCUGGCGUAAUGGUCAUCAGCGACCCGUCUAACCC
This 558-nucleotide ribosomal RNA is filed under the name Cytospora rosarum. RNAcentral's name for it is "eukaryotic LSU rRNA". It matches the Rfam family "Eukaryotic large subunit ribosomal RNA", at positions 73 to 662 of the family's 3401-position model. The record is from RNAcentral. Lineage: Eukaryota; Fungi; Ascomycota; Sordariomycetes; Diaporthales; Cytosporaceae.